UGUCUGUGUGGUGGUUUGAGAAAGUGAAUGUUGGGGCAUUGGAGUACUCAGGGUUUUUUGUUUGCCAUGGAUAAAGGGUGGACACAGUUACCCUUGUUUGUAAUCUUCCUGCUCUUUUUGAGUAAUACUCAUGGAUUUAAAGGUGGGGCUCAUUCAGAUGCCCGCCACCGGUGGGGCCAAGCUUCAGACAGAACGUUCUCACCUCGUGCAGUCCAGUCUUCUGUGUCAGAGGUCCCUGUGACUGGGAUUUUGCCUGAAGAAGUGGGCUCUAGUUUAUUCGCUAACAGACCCCUGAAAAGGUUGAACUUACUCCAAUUUGUUAAAGGUGGUGUUUCCAGCAGGCAUGAAUCAAUGUCCCAUGCCCAGACAGCUCCAAGCAGCUCUGUUUUAGCUUCCUUGCCUCUACCCUUAAAUGAACGGCAUGCAGGCCAUUUGACAUCGCUCCAGGGUUCCUCUGGAUCAGCCGCUACAGAUACUACUAGUGUUUCUACACAAGGAGAAAGUAGCUUCC
This is a long non-coding RNA of Rhinichthys klamathensis goyatoka, 511 nucleotides long. RefSeq lists it as uncharacterized. The record is from RefSeq and is a predicted model, not a curated record. NCBI's taxonomy places the organism in Eukaryota, Metazoa, Chordata, Actinopteri, Cypriniformes, Leuciscidae. The transcript is spliced from 3 exons.